AUUGAACGCUGGCGGCAGGCCUAACACAUGCAAGUCGAACGAGUGGCGGACGGGUGAGUAAUGUCUGGGAAACUGCCUGAUGGAGGGGGAUAACUACUGGAAACGGUAGCUAAUACCGCAUACCAUCAGAUGUGCCCAGAUGGGAUUGGCUAGUGGGUGGGGUAACGGCUCACCAAGGCCACGGUCCCUAGCUGGUCUGAGAGGAUGACCGGCCACAUGGGAACGGGGAAACGGUCCAGACUCCUACGGGAGGCAGCAGAGGGGAAGAUUGCACAAUGGGGGCAAGCCGGAUGCAGCCAGGCCGCGUGUAUGAAGAAGGCCUUCGGGUUGUAAAGUACUUUGAGCGGGGAGGCGUUACCCGCAGAAGAAGCACCGGCUAACUCCGUGCCAGCAGCCGCGGUAAUUC
RNAcentral lists this ribosomal RNA (406 nucleotides) under uncultured bacterium. Its description in RNAcentral is "partial 16S ribosomal RNA". It matches the Rfam family "Bacterial small subunit ribosomal RNA", at positions 29 to 526 of the family's 1533-position model. The record is from RNAcentral.